This is a long non-coding RNA of Homo sapiens (human), 4381 nucleotides long. RefSeq lists it as uncharacterized. The transcript is spliced from 3 exons. The record is from RefSeq and is a predicted model, not a curated record. Lineage: Eukaryota; Metazoa; Chordata; Mammalia; Primates; Hominidae.
UCUGAGAUAGGAAAUAUAAUCUGAGAUGAUCCCUGUUGCCCAAACUCCCAGGUUAGUGAAUGGGGAGGAAGGAUUCGAAUUCAUUUCUCUGACUCUGAAGCUCCUGCUUUUUGUACCAUAUGUCUCUGUCUCUCCCUAAGGCAUGGAGAGAUUACAACCCUUGUCCAAAGUCACUUCAUCUGGAAGAGGUCAGGCUAAACUGAAGGUACACUGACCCUUGUCUAAGUCUUUCUGGAUCAACUUUCAUUGUAAAUAUUUUCUCCCUGAUUGUGCAACGCUCAGCAGUUACUUACCAGGGCUGCAAAGUGAAGAUAAGCUUGCAAGAGAGGAACCACCCACCUCCCCCGAGUGAACCAUAGGCAAUUUCUGAAUGACUCUCAGGCUGUCAAAGGCAAUUGCCACAAGAGGUCAACGCCAAGGCUGCUCUGCAGAUAUGACCAGGGCUCAUUUUUUCCAUGAUCUUAGAGAAACUGGAUAAGCCCGGGGCAAAUCGGGCCCAGAGAUGAGAUGGUAGGACAUUAUGGCAGGCCCUGAAACCCCAGCGUGCCCCAGCAGAGGCCUGUGGUGGCCUCUGGGGAGGUGGGCGGUGGUGGAGGUCCGUGUGAGAGGGCAGCAGCAGCAGCAGAUUAGGCCCUGUGGAAGCCCACUUCCUUCCAGAGACAGUGCCAGGGGAGGAAGGGUCCAGACUGAGGGCAGGACGGGCCAGGGGGUGUGGCAGGCGGAUGCCCCCCUGGGCAGGUGACCUCAUCCACCCCUCCCGUGUCGCCUCCUCUGAUCUGCUCCCUCUGGAGAUGGGGAAAUCCAGAGUAGGGGCAACAGGAAGUAUAUUCCCAAGAAGACUGUAGACCCCCGCACAGGGAAACGAUGGAGCUCAGGAGGGGCGCUGAUCUCGGGAGCCUGGAUCCACCAGUUAUGCAAGUGAUGAAGUGAGUACGCACGGUCCUCGAGGCCAGGGCCGGCGCAGUAAGAACGAACAGGUUGUUCUGGAAAAUUGUCUGGCAGCCUCCCCGCGGCCUGCCUGCAGGAACUGGCAUCUGUGGAGUACUUUGCCUUGCUUGUUGAUCCACAGCACUUACCACAUCCUGGAGAAACAGGUCAAUACAGGUGGCCCUCAGGAGCCAUGGGCCCCAUGUUUGGAACUCUGACCCACACAGGGGCAACCUGAACUCCUGAGCCAUAGCCAACCCCUCCCACCCGGGGCCUCUGAUGAGCUGGGCCCCCCUGCAAAUAACGUUCCUGUCUGUUUCCAUCUGUGAGCUCCUGCUCGCGAUCUAAGGCCCAGCUGAAAGUGCUUCUUCCUUCCUGGGCCACCUUCCUUUCAUUCUCAGCUUUUCUAAAUUAUGAACAUUUCAAACAUUCCCAAAGGAGAGAGAGUGCACGAUGCACCUGAACCAUAUGUCGCCCAGAAUCCAUGGCUAUCAAGAUCUUACCACAGUUGCUUCAUGGAUCCCUGCCUCUACUUAUUUCUUUCUGAGUUGCUUUAAUGUUUCACGCCACUUUAUAUCUAUGUACUAGAUUUUGCAUCUCUAAAAUAGAGGGGCAUUUUUAUACGUAAUGAUGUUAUGGUCGUCUGGCCUAAAAAUUGCCAACACUUCCUUGCUAUCUAUCAUUCAAUACCCAGUCCAUAUUGAAAUUUCCCUUCUGAAAAUUAAUUUUUGGAAUCAAGUCUACCAUCGGAUUUGGUUGAAUUUCUGAAGGAAGGGGGUCCAUUGCUCUGCCGAAUGUCCCCACAUGGCUUCUGUCUCCAUCCACCACGUAUGUCCAGCUUGCGGCCCUGACUCUAGGUGCCCUCAAUUAUGCCCACUGUGGAAACGGCCUUUCUGCCACAUCUGAAGCUUGAGCCUUGGAGGCAGGCAUGACGUCUCAUCUCUGUGUUCUUUGUGGUUCCCAAGGCAAUGCGUGGUGUAUCCGAAGUGCUCCACUGAGUCUCGAAAACGUCCCUGCAUUGGAGGGAUCAUGGAGUGAAUUUUGUCUUUGCCACUCCACUUACAACUUCAAGUCUGGAGAUUUUGAAACACCCCAUGACUGGGAGUGACCGCUGGCUCGGAGAGGGUGAAGUACAGACAUGAAAGAAGCAAUGCCUGGGAAGGUACUCAAGAAAAAGCAUGAUGUGGUGGGGAAGGGCUGCAGCCCAGCCCUGUGCCUGCAUCCCACGCAUUUCUACUUGAUUCCUUAGCUCCCUAAACCUUGCUUGUCUCAUCUGUAAGGUGGAGAUAAAAAUAACAGUCUUCUUUUAUUAUGUGAGUUGCAAAUGACAGAGUGCAUGUGAAGGCUCCUGGUGCCAAAAAUGUUAGCAGAAUUGAGUGGAAGCAGAGUGAACACUCACUGAGGGCCGGGAGACUUAGGAGGGAGCUGGACCCCCCGGGAUGCUUUGCUGGAUGACCACAGCUUGGGGAGGGGGCUACUGCCUUUGGAGAAUGGCAACACUAUCAUGCAGCUCAGAAGGCUGGAGUCUAAUACCCUGCUCAGCAACCAGGCAUAGUCCAUUCCAUCACAGAGCCUGGGUUCACCUUGAGGACAGUGAGAACUCAGCCCUGGCCAUGUGGAAGUCAAAGCGUGCAGCACCUACGUACAUGGACCUCACCUGUCAUCCAAGUCUCCAAACCACACUGCAAUACAAACAUCGCCAAAGUAGCAGGCUUCUCUCCUCUGGGUGACAUCCACAGGGCAGAUCUGAGCAACACUUAGUGUCUCCUGGGACCUUCCCAGCCUCGGACAGAAUGGUUGUUAGAGGAACAAGGCACCAGGGGCGUGAUGAGAGCUUAGCUGAAAGGAGAGAAGACUCAGCAAGCACAUCACCUUGAAGCUGACCUGUCAGCCAGAUUUCGCAGCACCUGCCUGUUCCAGCCUGAGGGGCUGCGAUUCAUUCCUUGGGAAAGAGAGCUGCAAAUUCCCGCUCUAGGCCACAGUCCAAAUCCUUGCUCUUCUCUCUCAGGUUCUGGAAGACAGAAUGGAGGCAUCUACAGAGCAAGGACAUGUUUUCUACCUGAAUUAGCUUUUCUGACACCUUCAAACCAUCUCUAAGAAAUUGAUUUUUUAACAUACACAUAUACAGGUAAACAUUUAAAUCUGUGCCAUAAUGUAUUUGCACUUCGAGUCCCCCUGAAGUCCUAAGUCACAUGCUUCUCUUCCUAGGGGUUCUGUCUGAAGCAGAGACCCCUGGAUUGGAGCAGUGGGAAGAAUCCUGAUGAAUCAGGUGUUCCUGCCUGUUUACAUUAACUGGGCACCCUGCCUGCCCACCCCACAUGCUGAAUACUGCUGGGGAGAAGAGAAGAAACAUUUAUUAAAGGCAAGGAAAAAUUAGAGCCUUUUCAUUGAGGUCAGAAGAUUUUUGAGGUUGGAUCGGCUGGCCAGGUGCAUGACCAAUUUUCUUGGCUCCUUAGAAGCAGCAAAGUAUUUGAAAAAUAAUGGAGCCCUUCGUCCUACAAGUAAAAGCCCAUUUAUAUUGGGAAUUUUUUAAAAAGUGCUGGCGAUGGAAAAUUUCCGAUGAGAUGCAUUUCUUCCUGCCUGAAUGUCUUGAAUGCCUGCUGGAUUUGUCUCCCUGCUAAGACACUCACACUUGCAAAUCUGUGCUUUUCAAGGUGGGGAGAUGAAAAUAAAAAGUCUGUGAGAUGUAUUUCUGGGAGGCCUGAAAACAGGAAGCAAAUUGGAACCACAGCAUGUGGGGCACGGAUGCUGGAUUCUGGGGGAUAUUUGCUUAUUUGGAAAGGCUGCAAACAUUCCAUCCUACCCACUGCUAGGAGCUCUGCACUUUGCUAACGUCCCAUGGAAACCAAGGUUCUCUUUAGGACUCGACAGGACUGGGUUAUUUUUCUCAGCUUAAAUUGUUUUUAUAUGGUUAUCCUCAGUACUCUUUUCUGUUUUGGGAUAUUUUCAUACUUUUUAUUUUUUAAAAACCCCAGAAUAUCUUGAUUUUGAAAAGGUACAUUCACCCAAAUAAAGUGCCCAGCGCAUAGACAAGGCUGCCUCAAUAUUUCACGUGUCAACAGCCAAUGCCCCCAGUACGUGCAGAAAAGCCUGAGAACAAGGAAGGAAGAAAAGGGUCUGGUCCUUGCUCUGCGGGUAUUUAAGCAUUUCUCAGCCCCCUCCUCUGACUUCUCAACUAUGUUCACCUAUAUGGCCUCGAAUGGAGAGAACUGGGGUUAUAAAAGAGGAUAUUAGCUAUGCCUGCUAUAGAAUGAGGAAGGCAUUUCAGGAUGUGCUUGGGGAGGAGAUGGAAUGAAUGGCAAAGGGGAUGUUUGUCCGUGAGGGUGGUCUGUGAUCUGUGGGUGGGGGAUGUCUGUGCAGCUCCCUUCAUGGCCUCUCAUGGCCCACACAGUAGGCAGUGUUUGCCACACACAGACCCUGGACAAAGUCACAGAGUGGUGUUGGUACCAUUUCA